UACAGAGGGGGCAAGCGUUGUUCGGAAUUACUGGGCGUAAAGGGCGCGUAGGCGGCCUUCUAAGUCGAACGUGAAAUCCCCGGGCUCAACCCGGGAACUGCGUCCGAUACUGGAAGGCUUGAAUCCGGGAGAGGGAUGCGGAAUUCCAGGUGUAGCGGUGAAAUGCGUAGAUAUCGGGAGGAAUACCAGUGGCGAAGGCGGCCUUCUGGACGGAUACUGACGCUGAGGCGCGAAAGCCAGGGGAGCAAACGGG
RNAcentral lists this ribosomal RNA (253 nucleotides) under uncultured bacterium. RNAcentral's name for it is "partial 16S ribosomal RNA". It matches the Rfam family "Bacterial small subunit ribosomal RNA", at positions 524 to 776 of the family's 1533-position model. The record is from RNAcentral.